RNAcentral lists this ribosomal RNA (407 nucleotides) under uncultured Mycobacterium sp. RNAcentral's name for it is "bacterial SSU rRNA". It matches the Rfam family "Bacterial small subunit ribosomal RNA", at positions 355 to 774 of the family's 1533-position model. Lineage: Bacteria; Bacillati; Actinomycetota; Actinomycetes; Mycobacteriales; Mycobacteriaceae. The record is from RNAcentral.
UGGGGAAUAUUGCACAAUGGGCGCAAGCCUGAUGCAGCGACGCCGCGUGGGGGAUGACGGCCUUCGGGUUGUAAACCUCUUUCAGCAUCGACGAAGCGCAAGUGACGGUAGAUGCAGAAGAAGCACCGGCCAACUACGUGCCAGCAGCCGCGGUAAUACGUAGGGUGCGAGCGUUGUCCGGAAUUACUGGGCGUAAAGAGCUCGUAGGUGGUUUGUCGCGUUGUUCGUGAAAACUCACAGCUUAACUGUGGGCGUGCGGGCGAUACGGGCAGACUGGAGUACUGCAGGGGAGACUGGAAUUCCUGGUGUAGCGGUGGAAUGCGCAGAUAUCAGGAGGAACACCGGUGGCGAAGGCGGGUCUCUGGGCAGUAACUGACGCUGAGGAGCGAAAGCGUGGGGAGCGAACA